GUCUCAGUUCGGAUUGGAGUCUGCAACCCGACUCCAUGAAGCUGGAUUCGCUAGUAAUCGCGCAUCAGCCACGGCGCGGUGAAUACGUUCCCGGGCCUUGUACACACCGCCCGUCAAGCCAUGGGAGUCGGGAGUGCCUGAAGUGCGUGAGCGCGAGUAGCGCCCUAGGGUAAAACCGGUGACUGGGGCUAAGUCGUAACAAGGUAAC
RNAcentral lists this ribosomal RNA (208 nucleotides) under uncultured bacterium. RNAcentral's name for it is "partial 16S ribosomal RNA". It matches the Rfam family "Bacterial small subunit ribosomal RNA", at positions 1285 to 1500 of the family's 1533-position model. The record is from RNAcentral.